Molecule: long non-coding RNA, 647 nt
Organism: Polypterus senegalus (gray bichir)
Lineage: Eukaryota; Metazoa; Chordata; Cladistia; Polypteriformes; Polypteridae
Exons: 3
Source: RefSeq, a predicted model, not a curated record
UCAGCUUGGGCGUGGGUGGAGGUCGAAUGAGGCAAUCAUUUGUGUUCCUUGUGGACUGAUAAUUUGCAACUGUCUUCAGCUUUGCCAUUCAGAUGCAAUAAAAUACUUACCUUAUGAAAGAGCCAGAAGAGUCAGAUGCACCCAAAAGUACUGCCUCAGAAAGAAUUUCAGUGCACAAGAUCUAAAGUGAUAAUCAACUUAAAGACAAUCUACGCCACAUAAGAUGGUGCAGAGACACUGGGAAUACCAAUGGGACACUGUAGCCUCAUCGCUGUGACACUUGAAAAAAGAGUUCUUCUGACCCUGGAGAAAAUUCUACAGACUGAAAAUGUAGACUUUGUAAAGUCCAUCUUCUGCCAUGACUAGUUGAAGACAGUUUGUACAGUACAGACAAAAGAUCCCAGAUAAGAAGAAGAUGAUGACCAUGUGAGGAAGAGGAGAUUAAAAUCAAUAUUGAGGGGUGAAUGUGCAUGUUGUAUGUAGAGAAGCUGUCUCUAAGAUAUUAGACCCAUAAUAACAGGCCUGUAGGGGCCAGGCACACCCACCCAGAGCAGUUUGCACUCCCACAAGAAUUCUAAAAAAACAUUUUAUAUAUGUAUUGUGGCAGUAGGGGGCGCUAGUGCUCCCUUGAACCCUCAGGGAUGACU